Gasterosteus aculeatus aculeatus (three-spined stickleback) is the source of this 582-nucleotide long non-coding RNA. The record is from Ensembl. Lineage: Eukaryota; Metazoa; Chordata; Actinopteri; Perciformes; Gasterosteidae.
UUUUGCCUUGUUUUGCACACUUUAAUCCUCCCUUCCGCGGUGCACGGUGUGUGCUCCCAUUCUUCCGCCCUCGUCUCUGUUUGUUCUGAUAACGAGCGCCGAGGCGCGCGAGGCCCAACCCGCAUGAGAGAAAGCGCGCACGGGAUGCUCCUUGUGUUUUCCGCUUCGAGCCAUAACGGCCUAUUUGUGUACGACAAUCUCACCCCGACACAUCGCCACUGACGCCUGGUUUUUAUUUUAGGCAAUGCGGAGUGCGCUUUCCCCAGAUGGAUCGGCCUGGUCCCCCAACAAGCUGGAGCCCGUGGGAGCACAUCAGUGUCCCGUCAGGGAAGACGUGAUGAAGAGGGAUGAGACUAGAGGAGGCGGUGAGGAAAUCAGCAGGAGAGAGAAGGAGGCGUGAAAUCCCGUAAUGGAUUCUGCUCAACGACUUACGGAUUACAGCAACAUCCGCAAUCGCAGGAGCGGUUGAAGGGAGCGUUCCUGAAGAACCCGCCAGAGCUUUUCACAACAAAAUAUCCAGCCGAGCACAGAAACUAGAUAGGUUUCCUUCUAAGGUCCAGUGAAUGCGUUGGGUGCCUUUCC